GGCCUUUGGAAAGUUCAAUAGGGACCUCCUCAAAUUCAAUUCCAUUUAAUCUAGCAAUAAAUUUAAAAUAUAUAUAUAUAUAUAUAAUAUAAUCAGAUUAUGAUGAUUCAGAAAAAAAGUAAUCAAAGUUUUAGAUUCUAAAUUAAAGAAGUCAAUGAUGAUCUGAGAGUGGAAUUAGAAAUUUACUUGCAGAAAAUAAGAAUAGCACGAGAAGGCUGAGACAAGCGAUCCACAUAAAGUUUGAGCGACAUCUCUUUGCUGGCUAUGGAUUGAUCAGAAUUGAUUCUUUACUGUGAAAUGUGGGGAGGGGGGGAGGAAUGGAGAGAGGCCGCGUAUUUAAAG
RNAcentral lists this long non-coding RNA (342 nucleotides) under Nicotiana tabacum (common tobacco). Its description in RNAcentral is "long non-coding RNA (NTAB_LNC007228)". The record is from RNAcentral. Lineage: Eukaryota; Viridiplantae; Streptophyta; Magnoliopsida; Solanales; Solanaceae.